Pogonomyrmex barbatus (red harvester ant) is the source of this 2478-nucleotide long non-coding RNA. The record is from RefSeq and is a predicted model, not a curated record. NCBI's taxonomy places the organism in Eukaryota, Metazoa, Arthropoda, Insecta, Hymenoptera, Formicidae.
AAAAUAAGUUAUGCUUUUUUUCAAUUGAUUUCCGGUUUAUUUCAUUGAAAAUAUAAAUAUUGUCGCGCAGAUAACGUAUAUAAUUGCGCACAUUGUGAUAUUAAUAUUUCUUUCGCAAGAAAAUUCGAAAUCAAUUUUAUUAUAUACAAGUUUGAUCUGAGAUUAACACAGACAUGAAAGAAGAAUUUAAUAUUGCAAAAUAUAGAAAAACGAUUUUAUUAUUUUUUUUUGUAACGGCGGAUACUUUAUGAGGGAGAUUGUCAUUCGUCUCAUAAAGCACCGACAGCUUCCUGGCUUUUACAAAUCUGUAAAUAUACUCGCGAUGCAAGGUGAAUGUAUCUUAAAUUUCGUAUCUUAAAUACCGUUCAUUUAGCCUUACCAUCUGCCUCGUCAUUUUUAGAAAUGCAGGAAUCUAUGGUGCUGCAUUUCGCGGCGUAAAGCAUUCCUCGAGGUACGCCAGGCGCGGAACGGUGAAUUUGCAUAAUGCGGAUAAUUUAUUAACGUUCUACGCACUCGUGAGUGAAAUUGCGACGUGCACGCUUUUCCUUUUGGGCAUGUCGAUAGUUUUAUAGAUUUGCAUAUUGCUGUAAUCUUGGCUGCAUAUAGAGAAGAGUUAAAUGAUAUGUGGACGGUAUAUAAUUUGUUUUAACUGUAAUAGUCUAGUCUUUUUUAAUGCGAAAUUUCAAUGAUAAUAUUCUUCUAACUUUAAUGUCCUGAGAUUAGAAUAACCGAUUUAUUAUUUCUUGAAAAAGUUGAAAUUAAUUAUCCUUAUCCAUAUAUUUUCUUCCUUUCGUAUGAUUUUUACAUUUUCUACUGUAUAAUGAGAUUCUUAAGAUUCUUAUUAAGGUCCAAGUCGCGAACCUGCUUUGGCUCUUAUAUUUUCCCGUGGUUUCCUUUGAAGCUUUUGAAUGACGAGGCAACGUUUUUCGAGCCGGACAUCGCCUCUUGGAACUGCGCAUGUCCAGUGUCGACGUGCAUAUGUAUUAUGCAAACGACGAAAUGAAGGGUUAAAGUUCGCGGUCGCGCGAUCCGGAAACCGCGGAGGAAAACGCGAGUCAUCAUUUCUCGCGCGUUUAACGCUUACGUGCCGGUCGGUCGGUAAAUGAUGCACUGAAGAUUACGCGUUAGAAUAACGACGGCAUAUAAAAGAGGAUAAUGCAUGCAACUCAGUACUUAGAGGUUCUACCAACGGCCGUCCAUGCGUCAAUCUUGCACGUGGCUUUAAAGGUACGCUCACAGCGAUCAUGCGGAGAUUUCACCGUUUUCCAGUGAAAAACGGUUCUUCCGCGUUUAAUUCGGAGUAAUUUCAGAAAAACAAAGUUAUCUAACGUCCAAGUCGAAAUAAUGGAUGUACAUUCAUCCGAAGCCGCUUUCUCCGCGAGUCGGAUAUCUUCAACAGACCUGUCUGGAUUCGUGUUUACGAGAUCAUUAUGUUUUCACACACAAUAUGAGCGAAAUCAGUUACCAUAUAUCUCGCGGGAUACGCUGAAGACAAGUAUACGUGAAAGAUAUGUACCGUUGAAUACGUAAUUGGUCGUAAAACAUUCCGAAAAGUACAUUCUUGAAAAAUAAACUUAAUUUUUUAGUGAAAACUUCGAAGAAACUGGCUUACGGAAGUAAGCUGGAGAUUAUAAAUAUUUCGUGAAGGAAUAUUAGUUAGCGUUACGACUGUGCGCGAUGUUUGCUCUUGAUAGCUCCAGUUAACGAUAAUAAGUAUAUCUGAGAAAUUUCCGAGGACUUUGUUGCCGCGCCACGGUGAAAUCGUUUGUGUGCCGGUUUCGCAACAGCCGCGCGCGGUUGAGUCAGGCGUAGCUUUUAAAAUUUUCUAUCGCGCGCGGAACAGCUCGGACACCGACGAACUCUCAACGUGAGGAUGUUGUUGAAUUGUCAGGGCAACAAGAUACUCACCCGACCCCCCCGGCGAAUACGAUAAUAGAUACCGUCUCUGCUUUUAUGUAAUAAUCGCCGCACGUUUUCGCGUUUCGAGGAUACGAUGUUAUUCCGGUGAGUGAGUGUGGCUUUCAACGGCACUCAUAGUAGCAAUUUAAAUUGGGAUUGUCCCCUCUAACUAUACUUUCAUUACUUUUCUAUUUUCUUCUUUUCUUUGGAGAAAAGCUAGCGCAUGUCGGUCUCUCACUUUAAGUAUAGAAAGCGUUAGGAAAAAAAAAGAAGUUACUGAAUAGAGCGCACUUGAUAUGCUAACGAUGUCGGAGAAGAGACUUCACAUUAGCGAGCAUUUUUGCAGCAUGAUUAAAACUCAUCGGACGAAGGAUAACACAAACGCAGGCGUGAGUGUGUGUGCGAGGACCGGUCUCUAAAGGAGGGCAGUCAGGCUUUGGAGGAUCGAAUUUUGAGUCGCCAAUUCUCACUUGUCCCUGAGCAAUGAAUGUUCUGCUCUUUACAAUUGAAUUGACUGUUUGAUUGCAAACUUCACAAACGGUUCAUGCAAAUAGCAUCGUGACCAACAUUUUUAUCGCG